UGGGGAAUAUCGCACAAUGGGGGAAACCCUGAUGCAGCGACGCCGCGUGAGCGAAGAAGGCUUUCGAGUCGUAAAGCUCUGUCCUAUGAGAAGAUAAUGACGGUAUCAUAGGAGGAAGCCCUGGCUAAAUACGUGCCAGCAGCCGCGGUAAUACGUAUGGGGCGAGCGUUGUCCGGAAUUAUUGGGCGUAAAGGGUACGUAGGCGGUUUUUUAAGUCAAGUGUCAAAGCGUGGAGCUUAACUCCAUUAAGCACUUGAAACUGAAAGACUUGAGUGAAGGGGAGGAAAGUGGAAUUCCUAGUGGAGCGGUGAAAUGCGUAGAUAUUAGGAGGAAUACCGGUGGCGAAGGCGACUUUCUGGACUUUUACUGACGCUCAGGUACGAAAGAGUGGGGAGCAAACAGG
This 403-nucleotide ribosomal RNA is filed under the name Verrucomicrobiota bacterium. RNAcentral describes it as "Verrucomicrobia bacterium partial 16S ribosomal RNA". It matches the Rfam family "Bacterial small subunit ribosomal RNA", at positions 355 to 776 of the family's 1533-position model. The record is from RNAcentral. Lineage: Bacteria; Pseudomonadati; Verrucomicrobiota.